GACGAACGCUGGCGGCGCGCUUAACACAUGCGAGUCGAACGGAAAGGCCUGCUUUCCCUUGUGGAUUGCGGGUACUCGAGUGGCGAACGGGUGAGUAACACGUGAGUGAUCUGCCCCCAACUUGGGUAUAAGCCUGGGAAACUGGGUCUAAUUCCCGAUAGGACUGCAGGGUGGUGCCUGUGGUGGAAAACGAUUUUCUAGUGGUUGGGGAUGAGCUCGCGGCCUAUCAGCUUGUUGGUGGGGUAAUGGCCUACCAAGGCGGCGACGGGUAGCCGGCCUGAGAGGGUGGACGGCCACAUUGGGACUGAGAUACGGCCCAGACUCCUACGGGAGGCAGCAGUGGGGAAUAUUGCACGAUGGGCGGAAGCCUGAUGCAGCGACGCCGCGUGGGGGAUGACGGCCUUCGGGUUGUAAACUCCUUUCGACCGCGAGGAAGCCACCUGGUUGGAAGGGUGGUGACGGUAGUGGUAGAAGAAGCACCGGCUAACUACGUG
Molecule: ribosomal RNA, 494 nt
Filed under: uncultured bacterium
Lineage: Bacteria
Description: partial 16S ribosomal RNA
Rfam family: Bacterial small subunit ribosomal RNA
Source: RNAcentral